UGUGCAGCCAGAUUAGUUCCGAUUGCAAUUUAGUUGUAAACAAGUCACCUUUUAGCGAAUUUUGAACGCUACUGCCCGACAAAGUUCAACGUUUGAGAGGUGUUAAUCAAUUUGCGAAUUUAGUGGUAAUUAAUAGUGUAAACAUACUUACAAAGAUAUUUUUGCAACAAAAAUAUGGGGAUUAACACUGGAAAGAACCUUUUAAUUUUUGGCAUCCUGUUGCUUAUUGGUCAAUAUAAAAGCGUUAGAGGUUAUCCUCAAGCUGCCAAGGCUACAGCGCUAGCUAGCGCCGAUGCGCAAUCCAUUGGCAAUAACGCCGGUGCAGUUGCUGUUGCGUCCGCUGAUGCCGAUGCUGAUUUGAAGGGCUCGGAAACCUUUGGUUUCGGUUACUAUCCAGGUGUGAUUGGUGGUGGCGGUCUGUACGGACAAGGUUUAGGUUAUGGCGGCUAUGGUUACGGCGGACGUUGGGGUUAUGGCGGCUAUCAUGGCUAUGGUGGUUAUGGCGGAUAUGGCGGUUACGGUGGUGGUUACUAUCGUCGUCCCAUCUUUCCAGUGUGGGGUUGAUACUAUGUUUGGCUAAAUAACUGCAGACUCAACAGUAUUAAAAGGCAUCGUUUAAUGGUUAUUAUACUUAUAUAUAUUACAAAUAUAUUUUCACUAUACUUAAAACUUGAAAUAAUAAAAAAAAAAAAGUUUAAAUUGAAAGUAAUUAAGUGAAGUUCUAGCAAAUAGUACCAAUUUGAUCAAAUUUUACCGAAAAAUAUAGUUAUACUAAGGAUAUCAUUGUCAUAUAACUGUAUUGAGUUAUCUCCCGGACAAACCGAUCUAUAUGCUCUCAAUAAAGUUAUCUAGAAGUUAUCAUAUUAUAUUUAAAGAGUCAGGGAAUACCAAUUUCAUCCAUUUUUGAUCCAACCAUCAAUUCACAUUGUAUUGAAAGAAACAAAUCCUAUAAAUAAUAUCUGGGGAUAUUCAAGUCAGCCAAAAAGGAUGGAUCAUCUUAGAUAUGGCUGAAAAGUAUGUUCUUAAUCUAAUUCGGAAAAGGAUUUACAGCCUGACAUCCAGAAAUCAACUCAUCUCGACAUUCUGAUAAUUUUUAUAGGGAGCAUAAAAAAAAUACAGAAGGCCAAGGUUUUCGGAGCUCUUAGGAAGGACUUAGAGAUUUUAACGGAACGUAACGCAGACUUCCGCUUAAAGUCUAUAAUGUGGAUAAAUACUUAUUUAUACGUUGGGUCUCUCCUCUGCUAAAGUUUUUUAUACGCAUGAGAUUGCUUUACUUAAAAUAAUGAUACAAGGAAGUUUCUCUUCAAAGCGACUCUCCGAUUGUUUUCUAUACUCGUAAGCAAAAACUCAUAUUAACUCCGGUUUUCUUUAUUAUUGGUAUCAUUAAACAUUUUGGGUUAACGCUUUUUAAUAAUAUUGUUGCUAUAAGAAAUUGGUUUUGAUUGGUGCUAGGCUAGGUUUGUGUUUUUUCCUUCUUUUGUUUUUGUAGAAACAAUAAAAUUUAUUAUUGUUUGCUAAUAUUAUACCCUAAACACAGACAUAUUUAUUAAUAUUAAGUUUUUUUUAAGGGGUUUACAAGUCGAAGGUCAAACCUACACCAAAAUAAUAUACUUAAUCAUUAUCAUUGACGGACAUUUACGCUUCAUUUUCGGCAACAAAAUCAUCACAAACAACAAUUACAGCAAACACAGUGUAGCGUUAUCACUAUAAACAAAAUAUAAUUUUUUUCUAUUUAUUUUGCUUUUUUUUCAAAAAACAACGUGUUUAAUAUUAUUAUUUUUGUUUUUGUAAUAUGCAGAUAAUAUAAUUGAAUCUAAUAGACCCAAAUAUUAUUAUUUUUUACCAAAUAGUUAAUUUUGCAUUACGGUUUAAUGACUUUGUUCAAUUGGUGGCUGCAUAUUUUUUUAUAACGGUAUAAUUAUCUUAAGAACAUUAUGAAAUCUGCUAGUUGGUAUUUUAGGGGAACGAAAAGGUCUGGCAGAAAUUCGACCAAUAUACAUAAAGUCGACUAUAAGUGGAGAAGAAAUGUUUUUAUAUUUUUCCAUUUCUAUCAUUGAUAUUUUUUGUCCAAUAUUAUCAGGUUUGCGGGUCUCAAAACACCUUAUUUAUUUUUGGAUUAGCGCACAGAUUUUCAACAAUUGUUUAAAUUAUUUAUGUAAAUACGUGCAUUGGGUAUAAAAAGUACAAACAAUUAUUUUUCCUCAAAAAACCAAAAAAAAAAAAAUAAUAAUAAUAAACAAAGCACUAGAAUAAAAAUAAAAUAAAUAAAAGCAACAAAUUUAAAUGUGAAAUUUCGUCAUUUGUUAUGUUUUUAUUUCACAUUUCGCUGAUAACCCACCAAACUUGUUUCCUAUCAGUUAGCUCAUCAUCGCACCGGUUCAUCAUACACACGAGUAUAAAAGCAUCAAGAGUUCUUGAAAUUUAUUUAGUUUCAUUCAAAGAUUUAACAAUUAAAGAAGUGCUAAUAAUUGCCGAUUUAAGAAUGGCAAAAAUAAUGAUAAUCCUCGCUGUUUGUGUCGCCUUGACAAUGGCGCAUCCAAAUGGUUAUGGCGGCGGUUAUGGUGGUGGUGGUCAUGAUGGCGGUCAUGGUAGUGGUGGUCAUGGUGGUUUCGGUGGCGUAGGAGGCGGUCACAGUGGUGG
This is an RNA transcript of Zeugodacus cucurbitae (melon fly), 2640 nucleotides long. It is a transcript of the gene named holotricin-3, with no coding region annotated. Lineage: Eukaryota; Metazoa; Arthropoda; Insecta; Diptera; Tephritidae. The record is from RefSeq and is a predicted model, not a curated record. The transcript is spliced from 4 exons.